RNAcentral lists this ribosomal RNA (253 nucleotides) under uncultured bacterium. Its description in RNAcentral is "partial 16S ribosomal RNA". It matches the Rfam family "Bacterial small subunit ribosomal RNA", at positions 524 to 776 of the family's 1533-position model. The record is from RNAcentral.
UACAGAGGAUGCAAGCGUUAUCCGGAAUGAUUGGGCGUAAAGCGUCUGUAGGUGGCUUUUUAAGUCCGCCGUCAAAUCCCAGGGCUCAACUCUGGACAGGCGGUGGAAACUACCAAGCUGGAGUACGGUAGGGGCAGAGGGAAUUUCCGGUGGAGCGGUGAAAUGCGUAGAUAUCAGGAGGAACACCGGUGGCGAAGGCGGUGGUCUGGGCCGGAACUGACGCUGAGGAGCGAAAGCGUGGGGAGCGAACAGG